This 425-nucleotide ribosomal RNA is filed under the name Leptodactylus mystaceus group sp. ABGD cluster 49. Its description in RNAcentral is "partial large subunit ribosomal RNA". It matches the Rfam family "Bacterial large subunit ribosomal RNA", at positions 1822 to 2457 of the family's 2925-position model. The record is from RNAcentral. Lineage: Eukaryota; Metazoa; Chordata; Amphibia; Anura; Leptodactylidae.
CUUGACAAACUUAUAAGAGGUCCAGCCUGCCCAGUGACUCUGUUCAACGGCCGCGGUAUCCUAACCGUGCGAAGGUAGCGUAAUCACUUGUUCUUUAAAUGAGGACUAGUAUGAAUGGCACCACGAAGGUUAUACUGUCUCCUUUUUCUAAUCAGUGAAACUAAUCUUCCCGUGAAGAAACGGGAAUAAAAAUAUAAGACGAGAAGACCCUAUGGAGCUUUAAACAAAUAUACACCUGCCUCUUUACCAAAAAUUUCAGAAGACAAGUAAUUACCCGGGCAUUUUGAUAUAGCGUUUUAGGUUGGGGUGACCGCGGAGCAAAAAACAACCUCCGCAGCGAACGGGAGUAUUCCCUAAACCAAGGGCCACAACCCCAAGUAUUGAUAAAUCAACACCAAUUGACCCAAUAAAUUUGAUCAAUGAAC